Acanthopagrus latus (yellowfin seabream) is the source of this 975-nucleotide long non-coding RNA. RefSeq lists it as uncharacterized. Lineage: Eukaryota; Metazoa; Chordata; Actinopteri; Spariformes; Sparidae. The record is from RefSeq and is a predicted model, not a curated record. The transcript has 3 exons.
GUGGAUAACGAGCGCUGGGAAGAGAAGAUGGCUUGUGACCUGAAUGCCGAUCGCACCCGGACAAGGCGGGACAAAUCUGGGUGGCAAGUGUGAAAGAGCAUCAUCACCACCGCUGAGGUGCCCCUUGAGCAAGGUCUCCAACCCUCAAACUACUCCAGUGGAGCGGUUCAAGCAUGUCAAAUCAGGCCGUGGUCGUCUGGGGGAGUUUCCAAGUUGUGAAUCUGUGCAAACCUCCUAUUCCUGAAAUGAAAGUUGCCCUCAGUGAUACUUCGCUGGCUUUGACUUUGACUUCCAACCCCAGCAGAGACCGUCAAAGUGCCGCUGUUGUUACUCCCCACAUGGAGCGGUCUGUAUUUCCCGAGGCCAGAUCGGAAGCUCUGGCUUGCUAACUGAGAGGAAUCAACACUUCAAUCAACACGGUGGCUGCAAAUGAGAAAUAACUGGAAGUGUUUCCAUCUGAUCUGUGUGGAGCAGAGGGGCAGCAGACAGCCGGCAUGCUACGUCGCUGGCCUGGAUGCACUAACAAGUUGAUUAAUGGCUGCGGUGAGGGGGUCCACAUUUUUCUCUGCCCGGCCUUCUUCUCCAUCCUCCAUCUGCCAGUGACGAUCGACUCCCUGUGAAGGAAAGUUAUCUAACAGUGGCAAACAAGGCAGCAUGCUGCUGCAUUCAGUGCCAAAACAAAAGGGCACUAACAGAUCUUUACAGGGUCGAGACGGUACCGAUGUACUUUUUUGCUCAAGGACCUGUGACAAGAAAGGGACACAUUGUGAGCUACAUCCCGAAUCAACCCUCUGCUCCUGUUCAGUGGUACACAAACAAGUAUUGUUACUUUUCUUUUCACAUUGUUGGGGAUUGAGGAGAUCUCUGAGUCACAGCACAGAUAAUCACAAGAGAGGCUGGAGUCCUUGAUUCUUAUCCUUCCUGCAGAGUCCUGAUUUUACCUUUGGAAACUAUGGAGGCCCUGAGAGCUCACAG